Molecule: ribosomal RNA, 440 nt
Filed under: uncultured bacterium
Lineage: Bacteria
Description: partial 16S ribosomal RNA
Rfam family: Bacterial small subunit ribosomal RNA
Source: RNAcentral
CCUACGGGAGGCAGCAGUGGGGAAUAUUGCACAAUGGGGGAAACCCUGAUGCAGCGACGCCGCGUGAGCGAUGAAGUAUUUCGGUAUGUAAAGCUCUAUCAGCAGGGAAGAAAAUGACGGUACCUGUCUAAGACGCACCGGCUAACUACGUGCCAGCAGCCGCGGUAAUACGUAGGGGGCAAGCGUUAUCCGGAUUUACUGGGCGUAAAGGGGGCGUAGACGGCUGUGCAAGUCAGAUGUGAAAGCCCGGGGCUCAACCCCGGGACUGCAUUUGGAACUGUUUGGCUGGAGAGUCGGAGAGGCAGGCGGAAUUCCUGGUGUAGCGGUGAAAUGCUUAGAUAUUAGGAAGAACACCAGUGGCGAAGGCAGCCUGCUGGACGAUGACUGACGUUGAGGCUCGAAAGCGUGGGGAGCAAACAGGAUUAGAUACCCGUGUAGUC